Molecule: ribosomal RNA, 173 nt
Filed under: Ilex mucronulata
Lineage: Eukaryota; Viridiplantae; Streptophyta; Magnoliopsida; Aquifoliales; Aquifoliaceae
Description: 5.8S ribosomal RNA
Rfam family: 5.8S ribosomal RNA (bases 1-114)
About the family: 5.8S ribosomal RNA (5.8S rRNA) is a component of the large subunit of the eukaryotic ribosome. It is transcribed by RNA polymerase I as part of the 45S precursor that also contains 18S and 28S rRNA.
Source: RNAcentral
ACGUAGCGAAAUGCGAUACUUGGUGUGAAUUGCAGAAUCCCGUGAACCAUCGAGUUUUUGAACGCAAGUUGCGCCCAAAGCCAUUAGGCUAAGGGCACGUCUGCCUGGGCGUCACGCAUCACGUCGCCCCAACCCCCCAAUUCCUAUGUACCUGGAUAUUGUGGGAGAUGGGG